This 1262-nucleotide unclassified non-coding RNA is filed under the name Hevea brasiliensis (rubber tree). The record is from RNAcentral. Lineage: Eukaryota; Viridiplantae; Streptophyta; Magnoliopsida; Malpighiales; Euphorbiaceae.
GAAAAAUCAUAUAAUGAAUUUCAUUCAAAGAUAAGAAAAAACAAAACAACAAUGAUAAUUGAUAACUAUGGCUCUGAGGUCAGAAAGCUCCCAGAUGAUAUCUUUUGACAACAAUCACCUGGCAUUAGACUACUUUGAACGUAGUAGAUUCGAAACCUACUGUGACCAUCCGUUUAGUGAGGGUUAGAGCCAAAUACGUUGUGUGCCUAUAUCUUAUACAAAGGCAGAUAGAACAAAAUUUGAUUUGAUCCAGCAGGAGAGAACCCUCUAAGGCCUUACACUGCAGAAGGGUCAAACAAAAAUCACUCGGAAUCCAGCUUCUGCUUCUUUUCUUCGGGCAGCUCCUCUGUUGUUCCAUGUUUCAACUUAGCUUCUCUACGCUCCCUUUUAACUCCUUUGGCAUUGUGAGGCAAUGGCACACUUCCAACCUUCUGAUCAGGAAUGUAAAUCUUCCCGAGUUUUCCUUGAAUAGCAUCUUUGACAACAUUUUUCUCCUUCUUCUUUGCUUUUUCAAGAGAAGUUUUCAUAGCUUCUUUCCUUAAACUGUCAUCAGGGAGACGAUGUCGCCGAGUUACCAAGUCCAUGGAUGGCCCAACCUCCACUAAUUCUAUUCUUGGAACAACUGUGCCAGAUUUUUUAAGACGUAAUGCACAAUGUGUGAAGAAAACUCUAUUUGGUGACACAGCUACACAAACAUAUACACGAUCUAAUCCGGCUAGGUUCAGGUUGGUCACCACCUCGCCAUGGAAUAGAUCGAGCAAAACUUCUUUCAAAUGUUUCAACUCUUCAACACUCUCAAAUCCUUCUCCCAUAAAGGCAAAAAAAGGUUUGGACCCAAUUUUAGGAGCCAAAUUCUUAUCAUAUUUGAAAGACUUCAUGCUUUUGAACUCCUCCACUCCUACCUCUACAAGAUCGUAAAUGUGGUGAUCAUAGGUUCGUCCAAGAACAAGAUUGUUAGGGCGCUUCUUGGAGUGAGAACCAUACACAAAAAGACUGCAAUCUGUCUUAAGGGAGAAAAACUCGAGAGAAGUCUCGCCCCCGCUCUCAAAUGGUCUAAUGUUAUCAUUCUUCCGGGUAUAUUUGACGGAAUUAUCCCUCUUCAAGUGAUAAAUUUCGGUCAUCACAUCAUUCAAUACUUGGCUUGUUUUCGUACCGUGUAGUAUCAAAGUCUUCUUCCCAGUUUCAACCAAUUUCGGAGCACGCUUUUCAAGCUCCCUCCUGAUUCUUCCUUUUUGUGGGGUUUUGAAUUUCAUCAUGAUUAC